RNAcentral lists this ribosomal RNA (639 nucleotides) under uncultured Propionibacterium sp. RNAcentral's name for it is "bacterial SSU rRNA". It matches the Rfam family "Bacterial small subunit ribosomal RNA", at positions 870 to 1504 of the family's 1533-position model. Lineage: Bacteria; Bacillati; Actinomycetota; Actinomycetes; Propionibacteriales; Propionibacteriaceae. The record is from RNAcentral.
CGCCUGGGGAGUGCGGCCGCAAGGCUAAAACUCAAAGGAAUUGACGGGGCCCCGCACAAGCGGCGGAGCAUGCGGAUUAAUUCGAUGCAACGCGAAGAACCUUACCUGGGUUUGACAUGGAUCGGGAGCUUCCAGAGAUGGUUGUGCCUCUUUUGGGGUCGGUUCACAGGUGGUGCAUGGCUGUCGUCAGCUCGUGUCGUGAGAUGUUGGGUUAAGUCCCGCAACGAGCGCAACCCUCGUCCACUGUUGCCAGCAAUUCGGUUGGGGACUCAGUGGAGACCGCCGGGGUCAACUCGGAGGAAGGUGGGGAUGACGUCGAGUCAUCAUGCCCCUUAUGUCCAGGGCUUCACGCAUGCUUCAAUGGCCGGUACAGUGAGUUGCGACAUCGUAAGGUGGAGCGAAUCUCAAAAAGCCGGUCUCAGUUCGGAUUGGGGUCUGCAACUCGACCUCAUGAAGUCGGAGUCGCUAGUAAUCGCAGAUCAGCAACGCUGCGGUGAAUACGUUCCCGGGGCUCGUACACACCGCCCGUCAAGUCAUGAAAGUCGGUAACACACGAAGCCGGUGGCCUAACACUUUUUGUGGGGGAGCUGUCGAAGGUGGGACUGGUGAUUAGGACUAAGUCGUAACAAGGUAACCGUA